RNAcentral lists this ribosomal RNA (468 nucleotides) under uncultured bacterium. RNAcentral describes it as "partial 16S ribosomal RNA". It matches the Rfam family "Bacterial small subunit ribosomal RNA", at positions 28 to 507 of the family's 1533-position model. The record is from RNAcentral.
GACGAACGCUGGCGGCGUGCUUAACACAUGCAAGUCGAACGGAAAGGCCCUGCUUUUGUGGGGUGCUCGAGUGGCGAACGGGUGAGUAACACGUGAGUAACCUGCCCUUGACUUUGGGAUAACUUCAGGGAACUGGGGCUAAUACCGGAUAGGAGCUCCUGCUGCAUGGUGGGGGUUGGAAAGUUUCGGCGGUUGGGGAUGGACUCGCGGCUUAUCAGCUUGUUGGUGGGGUAGUGGCUUACCAAGGCUUUGACGGGUAGCCGGCCUGAGAGGGUGACCGGCCACAGUGGGACUGAGAUACGGCCCAGACUCCUACGGGAGGCAGCAGUGGGGAAUAUUGCACAAUGGGCGGAAGCCUGAUGCAGCAACGCCGCGUGCGGGAUGACGGCCUUCGGGUUGUAAACCGCUUUCGCCUGUGACGAAGCGUGAGUGACGGUAAUGGGUAAAGAAGCACCGGCUAACUACGUG